AGUCGAACGAAGGCCCGGAGCUUGCUCCGGUUACCUUAGUGGCGGACGGGUGAGUAACACGUGGGAAUUUGCCCAAGAGUGGGGAAUAACGUUUGGAAACGAACGCUAAUACCGCAUACGCCCUUCGGGGGAAAGGCUUCGGCCGCUCUUGGAUAAGCCCGCGUCAGAUUAGCUUGUUGGUGAGGUAACGGCUCACCAAGGCUACGAUCUGUAGCUGGUCUGAGAGGAUGAUCAGCCACACUGGGACUGAGACACGGCCCAGACUCCUACGGGAGGCAGCAGUGGGGAAUAUUGGACAAUGGGGGAAACCCUGGUCCAGCCAUGCCGCGUGAGUGAAGAAGGCCCUAGGGUUGUAAAACUCUUUCAGUCGUGACGAUGAUGACGGUAGCGACAGAAGAAGCCCCGGCUAACUCCGUGCCAGCAGCCGCGGUAAUACGGAGGGGGCUAGCGUUGUUCGGAAUUACUGGGCGUAAAGCGCACGUAGGCGGUCUAUCUAGUUAGAGGCGAAAGGCCCGGGCUCAACCUGGGAACUGCCUUUAAUACUGGUAGGCUAGAGUCCGGGAGAGGGUAGCGGAAUUCCAAGUGUAGAGGUGAAAUUCGUAGAUAUUUGGAAGAACACCGGUGGCGAAGGCGGCUACCUGGACCGGCACUGACGCUGAGGUGCGAAAGCGUGGGGAGCGAACAGGAUUAGAUACCCUGGUAGUCCACGCCGUAAACGAUGAGUGCUAGAUGUCGGGGUUUCAGAUUUCGGUGUCGCAGCUAACGCGUUAAGCACUCCGCCUGGGGAGUACGGUCGCAAGAUUAAAACUCAAAGGAAUU
This 819-nucleotide ribosomal RNA is filed under the name uncultured marine bacterium. RNAcentral describes it as "bacterial SSU rRNA". It matches the Rfam family "Bacterial small subunit ribosomal RNA", at positions 60 to 911 of the family's 1533-position model. The record is from RNAcentral.